GACGAACGCUGGCGGCGUGCUUAACACAUGCAAGUCGAACGGAAAGGCCCUGCUUUUGUGGGGUGCUCGAGUGGCGAACGGGUGAGUAACACGUGAGUAACCUGCCCUUGACUUUGGGAUAACUUCAGGAAACUGGGGCUAAUACCGGAUAGGAGCUCCUGCUGCAUGGUGGGGGUUGGAAAGUUUCGGCGGUUGGGGAUGGACUCGCGGCUUAUCAGCUUGUUGGUGGGGUAGUGGCUUACCAAGGCUUUGACGGGUAGCCGGCCUGAGAGGGUGACCGGCCACAUUGGGACUGAGAUACGGCCCAGACUCCUACGGGAGGCAGCAGUGGGGAAUAUUGCACAAUGGGCGGAAGCCUGAUGCAGCAACGCCGCGUGCGGGAUGACGGCCUUCGGGUUGUAAACCGCUUUCGCCUGUGACGAAGCGUGAGUGACGGUAAUGGGUAAAGAAGCACCGGCUAACUACGUGCCAGCAGCCGCGGUGAUACGUAGGGUGCGAGCGUUGUCCGGAUUUAUUGGGCGUAAAGGGCUCGUAGGUGGUUGAUCGCGUCGGAAGUGUAAUCUUGGGGCUUAACCCUGAGCGUGCUUUCGAUACGGGUUGACUUGAGGAAGGUAGGGGAGAAUGGAAUUCCUGGUGGAGCGGUGGAAUGCGCAGAUAUCAGGAGGAACACCAGUGGCGAAGGCGGUUCUCUGGGCCUUUCCUGACGCUGAGGAGCGAAAGCGUGGGGAGCGAACAGGCUUAGAUACCCUGGUAGUCCACGCUGUAAACGGUGGGUACUAGGUGUGGGGUCCAUUCCACGGGUUCCGUGCCGUAGCUAACGCUUUAAGUACCCCGCCUGGGGAGUACGGCCGCAAGGCUAAAACUCAAAGGAAUUGACGGGGCCCCGCACAAGCGGCGGAGCAUGCGGAUUAAUUCGAUGCAACGCGUAGAACCUUACCUGGGUUUGACAUGGAUCGGGAGUGCUCAGAGAUGGGUGUGCCUCUUUUGGGGUCGGUUCACAGGUGGUGCAUGCCUGUCGUCAGCUCGUGUCGUGAGAUGUUGGGUUAAGUCCCGCAACGAGCGCAACCCUUGUUCACUGUUGCCAGCACGUUAUGGUGGGGACUCAGUGGAGACCGCCGGGGUCAACUCGGAGGAAGGUGGGGAUGACGUCAAGUCCUCAUGCCCCUUAUGUCCAGGGCUUCACGCAUGCUACAAUGGCUGGUACAGAGAGUGGCGAGCCUGUGAGGGUGAGCGAAUCUCGGAAAGCCGGUCUCAGUUCGGAUUGGAGUCUGCAACUCGACCUCAUGAAGUCGGAGUCGCUAGUAAUCGCAGAUCAGCAACGCUGCGGUGAAUACGUUCCCGGGG
Molecule: ribosomal RNA, 1344 nt
Filed under: uncultured bacterium
Lineage: Bacteria
Description: bacterial SSU rRNA
Rfam family: Bacterial small subunit ribosomal RNA
Source: RNAcentral